GCCAGAUUAGUUGUAGUGGUAACACAAGCCUUUCGUAAUGGUUUAUCGUCGGUUCGAUUCCGACAUCUGGCUC
RNAcentral lists this transfer RNA (73 nucleotides) under Streptomyces phage Faust. RNAcentral describes it as "tRNA-Thr". It matches the Rfam family "tRNA". Rfam says of the family: Transfer RNA (tRNA) molecules are approximately 80 nucleotides in length. Their secondary structure includes four short double-helical elements and three loops (D, anti-codon, and T loops). Lineage: Duplodnaviria; Heunggongvirae; Uroviricota; Caudoviricetes; Stanwilliamsviridae. The record is from RNAcentral.